Molecule: unclassified non-coding RNA, 298 nt
Filed under: uncultured Sebacinaceae
Lineage: Eukaryota; Fungi; Basidiomycota; Agaricomycetes; Sebacinales; Sebacinaceae
Description: sequence contains ITS2
Source: RNAcentral
AACGCACCUUGCACCCUUUGGUAUUCCGAAGGGUACACCCGUUUGAGUGUCAUUGUAAUCUCACUCCUUCAACUUUGUUGUUGUUGGAUGUGGACUUGGACUCUGUUGUGUUAUAACAACUGGUCUUAAAUGAAUGAGUGCACCCUGCUGUUGCAGCGUCUUCAGUGUGAUAAGCAUCUUCACUGGAACAAAGUCCCUUGGGACACGCAGGCAUUGCAGGCUCUGUGCUGGCAAACUGUCUCUGGACAAUCUUUGACAAUUUGACCUCAAAUCGGGUGGGACUACCCGCUGAACUUAA